Molecule: ribosomal RNA, 329 nt
Filed under: uncultured eukaryote
Lineage: Eukaryota
Description: partial 18S ribosomal RNA
Rfam family: Eukaryotic small subunit ribosomal RNA
Source: RNAcentral
CCCUUAGAUGUCCUGGGCCGCACGCGCGCUACACUGAGUGUCUGAGAUACGAGUCUGCCUGGUCCGGCAAGGUCUAGGUAAUCGCUAAAAGACACAUCAUGCUUGGGAUAGAUUAUUGCAAAUAUUAAUCUUGAACAAGGAAUUCCUAGUAAGCGCAAGUCAACAGCUUGCGUUGAUUACGUCCCUGCCCUUUGUACACACCGCCCGUCGCUACUACUGAUUGGAUGUUUAAGCGAGGUUCUCGAACUGCUAGCGACUUAGCUUCGGUGAGGUCGCAGUGUGGGAAGUGAACCUAGCUUUGGUGUCUAGAGGAAGUAAAAGUCGUAACA